AGUGAACGCUGGCGGUAGGCCUAACACAUGCAAGUCGAACGGCAGCACAGUAAGAGCUUGCUCUUACGGGUGGCGAGUGGCGGACGGGUGAGGAAUACAUCGGCAUCUACUUUUUCGUGGGGGAUAACGUAGGGAAACUUACGCUAAUACCGCAUACGACCUACGGGUGAAAGCAGUGGAUCUUCGGACCUUGCGCGAUUGAAUGAGCCGAUGUCGGAUUAGCUAGUUGGCGGGGUAAAGGCCCACCAAGGCGACGAUCCGUAGCUGGUCUGAGAGGAUGAUCAGCCACACUGGAACUGAGACACGGUCCAGACUCCUACGGGAGGCAGCAGUGGGGAAUAUUGGACAAUGGGCGCAAGCCUGAUCCAGCCAUGCCGCGUGGGUGAAGAAGGCCUUCGGGUUGUAAAGCCCUGUUGUUGGGAAAGAAAAGCAGCAGGUUAAUACCCCGCUGUUCUGACGGUACCCAAAGAAUAAGCACCGGCUAACUUCGUG
Molecule: ribosomal RNA, 492 nt
Filed under: uncultured bacterium
Lineage: Bacteria
Description: partial 16S ribosomal RNA
Rfam family: Bacterial small subunit ribosomal RNA
Source: RNAcentral